This 75-nucleotide transfer RNA is filed under the name Heyndrickxia coagulans 2-6. RNAcentral's name for it is "Bacillus coagulans 2-6 tRNA-Gly". It matches the Rfam family "tRNA". From Rfam's summary of the family: Transfer RNA (tRNA) molecules are approximately 80 nucleotides in length. Their secondary structure includes four short double-helical elements and three loops (D, anti-codon, and T loops). The record is from RNAcentral. Lineage: Bacteria; Bacillati; Bacillota; Bacilli; Caryophanales; Bacillaceae.
GCGGAAGUAGUUCAGUGGUAGAACAUCACCUUGCCAAGGUGGGGGUCGCGGGUUCGAAUCCCGUCUUCCGCUCCU